GAGAGAGACUGGGCCCCCGGCAAGCUGCCCUGGCUUUGUUUACAACAAAAAGCUAUUGUUUGAUGUGGUUGCGCAGCCGGCUCCAAAGCUCCCGCUCCCACAGGAUGUGCUCUGGGUAAAAUGCCAGACGGAGGCCACUGCUGGAUGCGUUCGACCUCGCCAUACUGGGACUCGCAGUCCUCCUGAGGCCUCCGGGGACUUGGGAGAAGUACAUAAAACAACAGCGGUUUGGUGUAUUUUUGUUUUCGUGUCUUUUAUGGGGGGGAAAUGUGCGAGGAGGAAUUCUGUCGCUCCACCAAACAGGUUCGGGCGGCUUCAAACGAGGGAAAAGGUACCAGAUGUGAAACUUUGAAAUUUUGUAGAUAUUUUGACAGCUCGAGUUUAUUUCUUUUCUUUUUUUUUGACCUAAAGACUCUUACAUUUGUCACCGCGUUCUUUAAAUGACACGAUCGCUGUGCGUUCUAAGUAGCGAGAGUCCUAAACUUAUUCAUUUCUCUCCCUCCCGUCGUCUCUUCCCGGGCCUCACUCGCCAAAAACAUAAUGACUUUCCCAGUUCCGUUCCCUCUUGGGGAGAUUUCUCUUUCCGCCACCAGCCGCUCUUUUCUCUGCCAGGUCUCUGCCGUCGAGCCGCACGCCACCAGAGCAACGCAAACCCUCGUUGUGUCACGACGGUCCGAUCCAAGCAAAUUCAGGCCACGUGCAGGAUGCGUCGGAGGAGCCCGCUGGCGUUCCAAGCGCUGUAUUAAUCUUUCAUCGCUCGCCCUUGGAGCGGUGUCCGGUUGAAUGCUCGGCUGGAAAUGAUGAACAAACGGCGAGACGAUGAUAUCGCGGGUGUAUCAAAAGCACAAUGGGCUUCUUUUUAAUUGCUGAAGUCGCACACGAGUAGGAAGAAAAUGGGGCUAAAAACGUUUCAGGCCACGCGGGCGAAGCGUUUCCAGGUGAGGCUCUUUAAAUGGCUGCUGAAGCUUUGUUGGUGCGUAUUUUGGCAGCGAGUCAUUUCAGAGAUUGUUUAGCUCCUCUGGUGUUGGUGCCUAUUCCCAUUUUUUCGCUUUGCAGUCACACAAAAGAAAAAAAGGUGGGAGGACCGACGGCGGCAAUCAGGACUUGGCGUCGCUCGCGAGCCUCAAAGGUCGCCUGUAACAGUAGCCGGCGUACGGCGACGACGUGCCCGCAGCAACGCUGGGAAAGCAGAGAAACAUGCGCGCGCGAGCCAAGCUCGAAAUCCCUCCUGACGAUCGCCCUUUUUCCUGCACCCAGGGCCAGAUAAAAGGGGGGGUGGGGGGGGGGGUGUUGAUGCCUCUACUGCCCCCCGGAGGCCCCCCGGCCUCACUGGCAGGAAGGCGGGAACCGUCUUCAAGGCCGCUCUUCAAGCGCAGCACUAAUAGCUCGCGUGUUACAUAAAGAACUCCCCGUUGGCCGAUGACGUGGGUUUGGAUUUUGAGUCUAACGUGAUGAUUUACUGCCUUUGGAGAAACAGGGCAUGUAGACAAGAGGUACGAGGUACAGUAAGUCCCGACUGCUUCAUGCGGGACCGAUUUAAUUUUUCAUGUCGGUGUAAGUACGGAGCAAUCGAGGCUACCUGCAAAGUCCUCGAGGAAUCCAAAGAAACAAGUCACGAACGAAUUAAAGAGGCUUUCUGUCCUUCCUGUUAAGAAGUGACGGCUCUGGCAGAGGAAUAUAGCACAAAUGAUGAGACGGGACAUAAAGGAAAAGCCACUGACACAGAGACUAUUUAAUGCCUGUUCUGUUCCUUUUUUCUUUCUCUCUGCACAAGUUUGUCACGACAGUUUACAGCCGAACGUUUCGUCUUUCAGCAGUCACGGCUGGAAUUAAUGGAGCCUUAAACACAGGCAGCUGUGAAUUUUCUGUGCUGCGGCUUGUGGCGUUGGGAAUAAUAGCUGUUGUUCUCAUACGAUGAAACAUCCCUCAUCAGCGUCGUCUUUCGCCUCGAGAACGAGGAAGCGGACGGAGAGGCGCGCGAACCCCGGCGCGACAAUCAAAUCGUUCCCGAUGAAAGAAAACAUAUAUAAAUACGCGAGGCCGAGGAGACAUCUGAUUGGCAUGUUGCGUCGGCGCUUUCAAAAACCAAUAAGGGCUAAUAAAAAUGUAUGCAACGUGUGAAGUCAUUAUGCAAACACAAAGCUUUCUGUUUCGCGGCCAACUGUCACAUGUGAAUGAUUGAUGCUCCUUCUUGUUUAUUAGAUAUCACUGACAGAAAGCACCAGCACAUUUAUUUUCUUCCAUUGAUAUGCAGCGGCUCUCUUAAUGCUUCCCGCAGCGCCGUGAUGAGUCAGGGCGAAUCUAUACGCUGAAUAUAAAUAAGAUUGCACACCCGCAGAGCCCCCCGUGGUCGCGGUGCGCCCCUCCCUCCUCAGCAGCGGGGGCCCCCGCGCCGCAGGGCCGGAAUUCUGCCAGUUUGAACUGUCGGCGACACCGAGCGGCACCUGCUGAAUCCGCCCUCCCCGACCCCCGGCGGCGCCGGUCAACAUCACCGGGAGCCCGUUCCGCUCCGUGCAUCCAGGACAGCUGGUCACGGCUGAGAAUAACCACCAUCACAAGCUUUCCACCUGCCGAUCAAUAACCCCCCCCAACCCCCAACCCGCCUGCGGUCAACCAAGUCCACGCCUGCUGGCCUUGACCCAAAGCCCCCCCGCCCUCCCCGCAUCCCUGGUUUUAAUCCCAAAUCAAACAUCUCAGUGAUCCCUGGAUGAGGUCCUCUGCCCGUGGUUCCUUGUUUAAACACUUGUAUGCCGUCAUGUUUCGGGUAAAUCAUCCACUUUUUCCAUUGUAUACGUUUCCCAAACAAUCUAAAAUAAUUGCUCUUUUCCCGGCAGAUCCGAUUUAACUGGAUUCAUGCUUUGCUGUGUCUGCGUGAACAUACAGGUGGUGGUGGGAGGGGGGCUGGGGGCGGGGGGUCAAGGGUAACCGUAGAUCAAACUACGCGCUUCGCAGGCCCGCGUGUCGGUGGGAAAGGUCAUUUCCUCAUCGACUUCUGUACCGUCUGACUUCUUCUACACCCGGAGGAGUCGCCCCCCCCCCGGACGGCCGUUAGAGGACGGACGCCACAGACGUCGGCGUUGCAGCUGAUAAAAGCUCGUAUUGAUCCACGCCGCCUCUUAGUAUUCCUCAUACAUCGCGGCUUGGCCGACCGGAGAGGUACAUCGCGUCGUUUCAGGAUCACGUUGACACGGCUUCAUAUCAGACUCGAGAAGUAUUGUUGACAUCCAGGUCGCCGCCGUCUCCCACGCGGUCGCCGUGUGUUUCUUUUUUGUUGGAAUUUAUUACAGAGGCUUUCAAGUCAAGAAAAGAAUACAGACAGCCGCCCGUGUAGCAACGACUAUAUUUGUUUUUCGGCCAUUGUACGACAAAAAAACCCCCAAAGAAUGAGCAUUGAUAUUCCCCAUUUACAUAUUUCUUUGAGCCCUUAAUUACAGUGUGUCUGUUCUGUAAAGAAAAAAAGCUUGCACAGGUGUGACAGAACAACAAUGGAGGGCAUUUUCUUGGGCGAGUGACAUUCCCGACACGUUAUUGCUCUUGUCCGACCGGCUCGUUUCCAGCCAAUGUGGGUAUUAUCCUGCAUGAGGGUGUUUGACAGCUCCAUUGCUUUUAAAACUGCGAUUAGGAUAAUUGCAUAGGAGCGCUUUUCUGCUGAAACAGAGGACAACUUGGACCAUGGCACUGGAAUUUCAAUCAGGCUCAUAUACAAGAUCUCUCCUUUCUGUACUGGAGAGGCCAAAACUUUGGCCGUGGGAAAGAAAAUUACCAUCAUGUGAAAUACAUCUGAAGUUCAGCACCACUUUGCAAAGAAUCCAAUGUCAAGCAGCAGAGAAACGCAAUAUAAGAAUAAUUGAUGAUACACAAGUCUCAAUGGAACGGCAUCCAUAUGAAACCCAAUGAUUAUGUGGGCAAAGCCUGAUUGCAAUAGCGGCCAAUGAGAAGAUGAAGAAGAAUGUGGUACAAUGUGACCUCCACCGUGACGCCUUUGAAACGCCUCUGACCUUUAAGUGAUGGCGAAAGGAAACGUAAGAGGAACACAAGUCUAAUGGACGCAGUGGAAGCGUUGAGGUGGAUUCUGACUAAAAUAACCAAAUCACGCUAUUAAACACGGCAAACAGGGUUUGCUGACUUUGGACGGAUGAUGUAUAAGGUGUAUAAACACAUGGAUGGAUGAAUGAUAGAUGGAUGAAUAGAUGAAUGGACCGACUGACAGGUGGAUGGAUGAAUGAUAGAUGGAUGAAUAGAUGAAUGGACCGACUGACAGGUGGAUGGAUGAAUGAUAGAUGGAUGAAUAGAUGGAUGGACAGACUGAUAGAUGGAUGGAUGAAUGAUAGAUGGAUGAAUACAUUAAUACAAUACAGGUACUGUCGUCCAGGCGUUGUUCCUCCGCACACAAAGCAAAGUCCGUUUAACAGCAAAAAUAAAACAGACUUUCUGAGUCUUGUGUGGAAUAAUUUGACCUCAUCCCCAUCCGGCACCUUUUGUGAUGAAGCGAAACACCGACCGCCAGCCUGGGGGGGCCGCCGUCGGCUCGCUCACCUCCCCGAUGCCCGCGAGGCCGAGCGACCGGCGUCCAAAAAACACAAACCGGUGGAGCGCCAGAAGAACGCCCGCGCCUGCAUACGGAUGGACGGAUGGAUAGCGCUUAGGUCGACGGGUUCCUUUCACAUUGCGACCGCCGUAACGUAAGACAAAGCAGCGCUUCACUCAACGAAAACACCAGAUGUUGGUGAUCCAAGCAAGCCGCUCAGCCUCGUGAACAAAAAAACGCGCGGCGAAUUGCUCAGAGCGGCGAAAGCAUCGCAUCGGAUCGACGGAUGACAAAAGUUACUGUCGCGGCGCCAAUAGACGGCGGUGGAGGUGGACGGCGGUGCUGAGAGAGGGGUUCUCACAGCGUACAAAGGGGGAGUUGUUAGUGCUCAUUGGCCCGGCGGGCUGUGCGGAGGCCCGAGGAUAAGCCUGAAGCCAGAGGGGGGGGGCGCGAGGUGAGAGCUCAGACAAUACGGCCGGGCUCUGAGGCAAAGGCAGACUACACCAGAUAAUGUGACACGCAGCAGCAUGUCGGCAACAACAAGACCCUUAUUCGCGAUGUCAGGGGCUUCGUGGGCAGAAUGAGGACGAGAGGUAGAGGCGCCGCGGCGAGAAGCAGAGCGAGCGGCAAGAAAGCUCCCGAGUGGCGUCUUAGGGCAGGUUAGCAAAGGUGCGAAGCUGCCUGCACGGAGGGUAGAUGUCGUAUUUCUUCCUGUCCGAACCCUCUGUGGGGACUGAACGGGGCGGCCGGAUCACAUAAUUGGUUCCAGGAGCGGCGAACGACGCGGGGAGGGACUCGAGCGCGCCCCCGAGAAAAAACUUGACGGUGCGAGCGAGAGAAAAGGGAGGAGAAAAAGAAAAAAAGGGAAAACAAAAUAAAUGCGAGUUGACAGUUAAAAUGGGGGACAGUUAGGCUCAGUGUUGUUACCAUGACAAAGAGAAAAAGAGCACAGUGUGCGCUCCCCGCAUGGAGGGUGAGGAGCUUUAAGCACGGAGCAGCAGGAGGCGAGGAAGUGGCACGCUGGGGGCCUCUCGCCGCGGCCGCUCGGACGCCAAAAUGCGUAGAAGCGCCUCAGCGCCUUUGUUCGAAAGCGACUCGGAUUGAAUUUGCCGCCGAGGAGACAACUAUCAAAAAGAGCAAUAGCUCCUGCGGGCGGGGGGGGGGGCCCUUCCAGGCCUGCAGGAGACAGAUUACCCCUCUGCAGGGGCCAGAAGUGACAUCAUCCGGGACUGGAAGCUGGUAGGAGGAGGAGCCAGCACGGCAAGGAGCGCGCCUCACGCAGCACCUCUGGACGGGCUUCCGGGCCGCUCGCCGUCUGCACACGUUUGACUCCGCCGCCCCGCAUCAAAAGGCCGGCGGGGUUAAUCUCGCCCCGGGGGGAGGGGGGGGGGGGUUAAUCUCGCCCCGUGGUAGCGCCCGAUCCACACAGCCGGAUCUAAUGACACGAGCACGUGAAGCUCCACGUUCCUUCUGUUCAAUACCGAGCCGGACAUCACACACACGCACCACGCACACACACACACACACACACACACACACACACACAAUAAUUGGAUAACUCUGAAUUGAGUGCAGAGUUUAGUUCCUAAAUGUGAUUCCCAGAGCAUUAAAACAUUAGGAUGCAACCUUUUAUUUUUAUUUUUAAAGGGUCUAAAGUAAAUGAUGUAAGUUGAAAUUAAAGUAAAAUGCCCUUUUCUAUUUAGAUAAAUGAAGAUAUGCGCAAUUGAAAGUGGGAAAGUGGAGAAGUAAAACCUCAAUGAAAAACACUAUUCUGCUGGAAUUAUUUCAUCAUUUUCUGCACAGCUUUAAAUAAAAGGCAGCUCACACACACAAAGGAGUGUGGGAGGAAAUAGAGAAUUAUUGAACAGGGAAAAUAGAGAAUACAUAACUAGUUAAAUGUUUAACAAUUUAUUCCCCGAAACCAACAAUAGCAUGUGUGAGUAUAAAGCUUUACUUAUCUUUAUACUCACAAUCAGUAUUUGCUUCAUAUGCACUCACACAAUUAUACUUUUUUAUAUUUUCUCUCUUUUAUUGCUGCAUCGUAUCAAUUAAAUAUCAAUUCACAAAUGCGUGUGUUUCAUGAGCGAGAGGCCACUUGCGCAGAGCGCGACUUCUCCCUGGGUUUUCUAUUAUAAUAAGUAUCAUUGCAUAAAAAGUGCCGUGCCAUCUGCUGGGCUCACGGACCCUCGUCCAAAUAUCAAUGAUUUUCCAAUAAAUCUAAAACUAAUGUUUAUCCCAAGCUGUGACACGAACAGCGGCAGUCGGGUCAUUGAGCCUGGACCCAAUUACCCGAUCAUCCAUCACCAGCCAUUGUCGGCCUCCGCAGCCUCAGAAGCAGCAACACGUGCUAUUUUGUCUUCCCCUCGGCGUUGAUAUCGCCGCUCUGGGGAAUCCACAGAAUCAGCAGCCGCCUCCGCGGCCACGUGGUCCUCACCUCUCGUUUCUUUUGCGAGCGUGACCAAACUCCAAAAGGUCCGCUGCUCCAGAAGCCCACGGUAAGUGAUCCGCACAGCAGCUGCGCCACAACACAACACAGCAGUGCAGUUGCUUUUUUUUU
Gasterosteus aculeatus aculeatus (three-spined stickleback) is the source of this 7085-nucleotide long non-coding RNA. NCBI's taxonomy places the organism in Eukaryota, Metazoa, Chordata, Actinopteri, Perciformes, Gasterosteidae. The record is from Ensembl.